GGGACUGUAGCUCAGCUGGUUAGAGCACACGCCUGAUAAGCGUGAGGUCGGUGGUUCGAGUCCACUCAGUCCCA
RNAcentral lists this transfer RNA (74 nucleotides) under Abyssicoccus albus. It matches the Rfam family "tRNA". Rfam says of the family: Transfer RNA (tRNA) molecules are approximately 80 nucleotides in length. Their secondary structure includes four short double-helical elements and three loops (D, anti-codon, and T loops). Further hydrogen bonds mediate the characteristic L-shaped molecular structure. tRNAs have two regions of fundamental functional importance: the anti-codon, which is responsible for specific mRNA codon recognition, and the 3' end, to which the tRNAs corresponding amino acid is attached (by aminoacyl-tRNA synthetases). tRNAs cope with the degeneracy of the genetic code in two manners: having more than one tRNA (with a specific anti-codon) for a particular amino acid; and 'wobble' base-pairing, i.e. permitting non-standard base-pairing at the 3rd anti-codon position. Lineage: Bacteria; Bacillati; Bacillota; Bacilli; Caryophanales; Abyssicoccaceae. The record is from Rfam by way of RNAcentral.